RNAcentral lists this ribosomal RNA (484 nucleotides) under uncultured bacterium. RNAcentral describes it as "partial 16S ribosomal RNA". It matches the Rfam family "Bacterial small subunit ribosomal RNA", at positions 30 to 507 of the family's 1533-position model. The record is from RNAcentral.
AUUGAACGCUGGCGGCAGGCCUAACACAUGCGAGUCGAGCGGAUGAAGGGAGCUUGCUCCUGGAUUCAGCGGCGGACGGGUGAGUAAUGCCUAGGAAUCUGCCUGGUAGUGGGGGAUAACGUCCGGAAACGGGCGCUAAUACCGCAUACGUCCUGAGGGAGAAAGUGGGGGAUCUUCGGACCUCACGCUAUCAGAUGAGCCUAGGUCGGAUUAGCUAGUUGGUGGGGUAAAGGCCUACCAAGGCGACGAUCCGUAACUGGUCUGAGAGGAUGAUCAGUCACACUGGAACUGAGACACGGUCCAGACUCCUACGGGAGGCAGCAGUGGGGAAUAUUGGACAAUGGGCGAAAGCCUGAUCCAGCCAUGCCGCGUGUGCGAAGAAGGUCUUCGGAUUGUAAAGCACUUUAAGUUGGGAGGAAGGGCAGUAAGUUAAUACCUUGCUGUUUUGACGUUACCAACAGAAUAAGCACCGGCUAACUUCGUG